Molecule: ribosomal RNA, 497 nt
Filed under: uncultured bacterium
Lineage: Bacteria
Description: partial 16S ribosomal RNA
Rfam family: Bacterial small subunit ribosomal RNA
Source: RNAcentral
GACGAACGCUGGCGGCGUGCCUAAUACAUGCAAGUUGAGCGCUGAAGGUUGGUACUUGUACCAACUGGAUGAGCAGCGAACGGGUGAGUAACGCGUGGGGAAUCUGCCUUUGAGCGGGGGACAACAUUUGGAAACGAAUGCUAAUACCGCAUAAAAACUUUAAACACAAGUUUUAAGUUUGAAAGAUGCAAUUGCAUCACUCAAAGAUGAUCCCGCGUUGUAUUAGCUAGUUGGUGAGGUAAAGGCUCACCAAGGCGAUGAUACAUAGCCGACCUGAGAGGGUGAUCGGCCACAUUGGGACUGAGACACGGCCCAAACUCCUACGGGAGGCAGCAGUAGGGAAUCUUCGGCAAUAGACGAAAGUCUGACCGAGCAACGCCGCGUGAGUGAAGAAGGUUUUCGGAUCGUAAAGCUCUGUUGGUAGAGAAGAACGUUGGUGAGAGUGGAAAGCUCAUCAAGUGACGGUAACUACCCAGAAAGGGACGGCUAACUACGUG